RNAcentral lists this ribosomal RNA (395 nucleotides) under uncultured bacterium. RNAcentral's name for it is "bacterial SSU rRNA". It matches the Rfam family "Bacterial small subunit ribosomal RNA", at positions 505 to 898 of the family's 1533-position model. The record is from RNAcentral.
GUGUCAGCAGCCGCGGUAAUACGGAGGGUGCAAGCGUUGUUCGGAAUCACUGGGCGUAAAGCGCGUGUAGGCGGCCUCCUAAGUCUGGUGUGAAAGCCCGGGGCUCACCCCCGGAAGUGCAUUGGAUACUGGGAGACUGGAGUACCGAAGAGGAGGGUGGAAUUCCUGGUGUAGCGGUGAAAUGCGUAGAUAUCAGGAGGAACACCGGUGGCGAAGGCGGCCCUCUGGUCGGAUACUGACGCUGAGACGCGAAAGCGUGGGGAGCAAACAGGAUUAGAUACCCUGGUAGUCCACGCCAUAAACGAUGGGCACUAGGUGUUCGGGGUAUUGACCCCCUGAGUGCCGCAGCUAACGCAUUAAGUGCCCCGCCUGGGGAGUACGGCCGCAAGGUUAAA